Molecule: small RNA, 575 nt
Filed under: Pan troglodytes (chimpanzee)
Lineage: Eukaryota; Metazoa; Chordata; Mammalia; Primates; Hominidae
Description: processed transcript
Source: RNAcentral
GUUAACACAAGCUUCUUCUGAAGCCCUCAGGAGGCAGGGGAGUAAGUGGGCCCUGUGGUGAACUCUGUCUUGAGUCGGCUCCAUGGGAGUGAGAAGACCUGGCCUACGGCUCUGUGAUCACUGUGAAGAACCUUCGGAUGGCCAUCGGCUAUCUGCACUCCCACAGGCACCUCUAUCCCGAGGGCAUUGGUGCCCGUCAGCAGCAGGUUACCACCUAUUUGCACAAGGACUACAACAACCUGUGGAUUAUCAAGAAACAUAACACAAACUCAGAUCCCCUAGACCCUUCCUUCCCAGUGGAGUUUGUAAGACAUGGAGACAUUAUUCGACUAGAACACAAAGAAACUUCCCGGAACUUGCACAGUCACUAUCAUGAGGCCCCCAUGACCCGGAAGCACUAUCAGGUCACCGGCUAUGGCAUAAAUGGAACAGGGGACUCAAAUGAUUUCUGGCGGAUUGAGGUCGUAAACAGAAAAUUUGGAAACCGGAUCAAAGUGCUGAGAAGUCGAAUUCGCUUCAUCCAUUUGGUCACAGGUUGUGUCCUGGGCUCCUCGGGAAAGGUUCUGCCCAAGUGG